UUUCCAACAGAUCAGCGACCUAUAGGGUUGGCCAUACAAUGCCUCGUACGAGACCAUACCGAUAUUUACUUGGUAACUAUUAUUGUAGGCAAACUCUAUCAAGGGUAGAUCAUCAUCCCAAUGGCCUCUGAAGUCUAAAUACAAGCUUGGAGCAUAUCCUCCAGUGUGCAAAUUUUCUGUUAUGAUUGUCCAUCGGUUUGAAGGUGGAAUGCAGUGUUGAGGGAUAGUUUCGUUCCCAUUACUAACUGAAAACUAGACAAAAACAAAGAGGU
This 272-nucleotide long non-coding RNA is filed under the name Carica papaya (papaya). Its description in RNAcentral is "long non-coding RNA (CPAP_LNC004702)". The record is from RNAcentral. Lineage: Eukaryota; Viridiplantae; Streptophyta; Magnoliopsida; Brassicales; Caricaceae.